This 78-nucleotide transfer RNA is filed under the name Candidatus Baldrarchaeia archaeon. Its description in RNAcentral is "tRNA-Val". It matches the Rfam family "tRNA". Rfam says of the family: Transfer RNA (tRNA) molecules are approximately 80 nucleotides in length. Their secondary structure includes four short double-helical elements and three loops (D, anti-codon, and T loops). Lineage: Archaea; Promethearchaeati; Candidatus Baldrarchaeota; Candidatus Baldrarchaeia. The record is from RNAcentral.
GGGCCCGUGGUCUAGCCCGGCUAUGACGCCGCCCUCACACGGCGGAAGUCCCGGGUUCAAAUCCCGGCGGGCCCACCA